This 1880-nucleotide long non-coding RNA is filed under the name Musa acuminata (dwarf banana). RNAcentral describes it as "long non-coding RNA (MACU_LNC004532)". Lineage: Eukaryota; Viridiplantae; Streptophyta; Magnoliopsida; Zingiberales; Musaceae. The record is from RNAcentral.
CGGCCGACGUGGUCGUCGCUGAGGGCGUGCCACAGCUGGGCGACCUUGGACAUGUACCGCCCCACCUCGAAGGCCAGAACCCCGACGGUGGCAGGCUUUGUCGUCCCGGUUGCGCCGUCCUUCCUCCGUCUGCUCCCUCUGGUGAGCCGCACCCGACCCAGCCACGUUUCCGAUUUCACCUGCCUCAUGCGCGCAAGUUGCUUCUGUGACAGGCCGGAAUUACCCGCAGAGAUCUCUCAUUCAUGUACUUGGGACAAGGUCACGGUGACAUGAUGGCUCUUAUCCAGCUCCAUCUUCAUCUUUCUCUGCCUCUUCAAUGAGCCAAAGGACAAAUGGGCAAAUAGCCAUUUGUCAUCCUCCCUUCACUUUACGAGAUUAUACCGGGAUUAUUCCGGCUGAGGUCAUCAGUAUCAUCGCCUCUCUAGGCAAAGCCUUCUACGGAUCCUCGCGCGUUGGAUCAAAGUACGCAGGUCAGCUUCGCCUUGUUGAUAUCGGCUACAUUAUCCACCGCAUUGGUGAGACACAGUAGUAGUAGCUUCCUUGUCCUGUUGUUCUUGGUUGUCUCUGCGCGACAUGAUAUCCAUUCGGUUGUGGCUCGCAAUUGUGCAGGCGAUGUAACAUAUGCAUGCGUAUUUUGUCAAACAUCUGGCGUACGUUUGUGGUCUUGGGUAAUCUUGGAGAAUGGAGAUUAAACACGAGGAAUUGUGGCGCACGGGAGACGCAUGCGAGGAAUCACGUCAACACAGAUCAUCGUAUAUAGCAAGAUACCCAACUAUAGCAAGAAGUCCAUGAAACUGAAGCAGGAGAUGCCGAUCUCUGAUGACUUCUCGGCUUGUUUGAAGCGAGAACCAGUUGCAGAGGCAGCGGUAGCUGUUGCUGCUGCGCUUGCUGCUUCUGAAACAGGGACGGGGUUGAGGCAGAGGAAGAAGUUCCUUGAGCCCAACCCCAUCAACUUCUCCUCCGGAUCCAGACCUGGUAAUGAUCAUCGGCAUCAUCAAAGUGGCACGAACAUGAUACGUUCUGUGUUGGGAGAUGGGCUUUGCUUACCUUCGAGGCUGAACUGGGAGUAAUGGAGGCCAAAGGCGGAAGGCUCCGCCGUGGGGAUGGGUGGCCGCCGCCCCUCCUUCACGUAGAGCCGGACCGUGGCGGCCACCAGGUCCCCGACGCUCCACUCCGCGGACGCCAUCACCUGCACCGGCCCCAGGCUGCGCUGCACGGACACGUUCACAAGCACCUUCGCCGGCAACCUCCGCUCCUCUCCCGCGCCGCUCCUCCCCCGGGGCAGCAGUUCCGGCUGGGUCUUAGGCCGCCGAAUCUGGCUGCGGUCCAGCGGGGAGGCCGUUAACGUCGUCGUCCGGCCGUGGAACGAAGCCGACCGCUCGGGCCGAGCCUUCCUGCUCUCUCUCAUGUCCGCUCUUCCUGGCCGCUGCGGACGCGGAACACAAGGGGUAUAUAUUGGUAUGUUACGAACUCUGAAGCAAGGGAAGCAGCGAACUCUCAGAUAUACAUGGGGAAGGCAGACAUGGACGAAGCGGGUUGCUCGUCUGGUCUGCAUCUGGGGGAAGCAGUAUAUGCAGCCAUAACUCAUCUCUCUCUUCCCCUAUCUCCUCCGUACCCAAACCGGAUUAUUAGAUGAUGAGCGCAGCGCGUUAUCGCCGCCGUGGUCCUCGGAUGACGACACUCACAGUGGAGGUGUCGCACCCCAAGAUGGAAAGCCACAGGACCGUCCAAAAGACUCACCUUUGUUGGCCCAAUGGGAGCAUGCUGCGUCCUGCUCCGCCCUCGGCUCCCCCUCUUCCCCGGGGGUGAAAUCUCAGCAAGCCCGGGGGAGGCUGCAACCGGUGCCGUCCGAACUCGACCGAACGGGAUCGGUGGAAAGA